RNAcentral lists this ribosomal RNA (380 nucleotides) under uncultured eukaryote. Its description in RNAcentral is "partial 18S ribosomal RNA". It matches the Rfam family "Eukaryotic small subunit ribosomal RNA", at positions 592 to 976 of the family's 1831-position model. The record is from RNAcentral.
CAAUAGCGUAUAUUAAAGUUGUUGCAGUUAAAAAGCUCGUAGUUGGACUUGUGGCGUACGGUGUGUUCCGGGCACUUGUUGUCUGAGUAACCUGCUGUUGCCAUCCUUGGGUGGAACCUGUGUGGCAUUAGGUUGUCGUGCAGGGGAUGCCCAUCAUUUACUGUGAAAAAAUUAGAGUGUUCAAAGCAGGCUUAUGCCGUUGAAUAUAUUAGCAUGGAAUAAUGAGAUAGGACUUUUUUGCUAUUUUGUUGGUUUGCGCAAAGAGGUAAUGAUUAAUAGGGACAGUUGGGGGUAUUCGUAUUCCAUUGUCAGAGGUGAAAUUCUUGGAUUUUUGGAAGACGAACUACUGCGAAAGCAUUUACCAAGGAUGUUUUCAUUAA